This 501-nucleotide ribosomal RNA is filed under the name uncultured bacterium. RNAcentral's name for it is "partial 16S ribosomal RNA". It matches the Rfam family "Bacterial small subunit ribosomal RNA", at positions 30 to 523 of the family's 1533-position model. The record is from RNAcentral.
AUUGAACGUUGGCGGCAGGCUUAACACAUGCAAGUCGAGCGGGGGAAGGUAGCUUGCUACCGGACCUAGCGGCGGACGGGUGAGUAAUGCUUAGGAAUCUGCCUAUUAGUGGGGGACAACAUCUCGAAAGGGAUGCUAAUACCGCAUACGUCCUACGGGAGAAAGCAGGGGAUCUUCGGACCUUGCGUCAAUAGAUGAGCCUAAGUGGGAUUAGCUAGUUGGUGGGGUAAAGGCCUACCAAGGCGACGAACUGUAGCGGGUCUGAGAGGAUGAUCCGCCACACUGGGACUGAGACACGGGCCAUACUCCUACGGGAGGCAGCAGGGGGGAAUAUUGGACAAUGGGGGGAACCCUGAUCCAGCCAUGCCGCGUGUGUGAAGAAGGCCUUAUGGUUGUAAAGCACUUUAAGCGAGGAAGAGGCUCUUUUGGUUAAUACCCAAGAUGAGUGGACGUUACUCGCAGAAUAAGCACCGGCUAACUCUGUGCCAGCCGCCGCAGUAA